CACCUACUACACAAAACCUUACUUUUCAACACCGGAUAACUAUCAAAAAGAAAAUAUAACUUUUACUGAAAUUAGUAAAAACAAUAAAAUUACAAAAUAGACAAUUUAUAUAUUAGACUCAAUGUGUAGUACACAACAAAACAAUCACCACAUCAAGCGUUCUGCUGUCACCUUUUUAUCUCGACGGGAUGUUGGGUCAUAUCAACUUAGAAGAUGCCAAAAAAUUGUUUAACAAUGUGUGGAAACCAGGGGGGUGGUUUCUAGAUGAUGCUCGGGCAACAAAAUAUCCCAAGUCAUUGGGUGGUUCACGAGCUAUUCUGGAUAUGCAAUUAAUAAUGAAUUGAACUUUGCUACGUUUAAUUUA
Long non-coding RNA from Olea europaea var. sylvestris, 364 nucleotides. RefSeq lists it as uncharacterized. NCBI's taxonomy places the organism in Eukaryota, Viridiplantae, Streptophyta, Magnoliopsida, Lamiales, Oleaceae. The record is from RefSeq and is a predicted model, not a curated record. The transcript has 3 exons.